CCUACGGGAGGCAGCAGUAGGGAAUCUUGCGCAAUGGGCGAAAGCCUGACGCAGCCAUGCCGCGUGAAUGAUGAAGGUCUUAGGAUUGUAAAAUUCUUUCACCGGGGACGAUAAUGACGGUACCCGGAGAAGAAGCCCCGGCUAACUUCGUGCCAGCAGCCGCGGUAAUACGAAGGGGGCUAGCGUUGCUCGGAAUUACUGGGCGUAAAGGGAGCGUAGGCGGAUAGUUUAGUCAGAGGUGAAAGCCCAGGGCUCAACCUUGGAACUGCCUUUGAUACUGGCUAUCUUGAGUAUGGGAGAGGUGAGUGGAACUCCGAGUGUAGAGGUGAAAUUCGUAGAUAUUCGGAAGAACACCAGUGGCGAAGGCGACUCACUGGCCCAUUACUGACGCUGAGGCUCGAAAGCGUGGGGAGCAAACAGGAUUAGAUACCCUGGUAGUCCACGCCGUAAACGAUGAGUGCUAGUUGUCGGCAUGCAUGCAUGUCGGUGACGCAGCUACGACAUUAAGACACCUCCGCCGUCGGGGUAGGUACGGUCGGCGAAGAAGUUAAAACUUAACGAAAGGAAAGUUAGACGGCGUGAGACGUGCCGACGGACGACGACGAGGGAGGUUAGG
This 616-nucleotide ribosomal RNA is filed under the name uncultured bacterium. RNAcentral describes it as "bacterial SSU rRNA". The stretch from base 1 to 519 matches the Rfam family "Bacterial small subunit ribosomal RNA", at positions 338 to 873 of the family's 1533-position model. The record is from RNAcentral.